UGUUCCGGGUGGUCGGGCGGCGGUUGCGAAAGCCGGUGCUGAUGACGCCGGAAGGCGACCGCGGUCAUCCGGUGCUCGGGUUCGAUGUCGAAUCCGAUCGG
Molecule: transfer RNA, 101 nt
Filed under: Sphaerimonospora thailandensis
Lineage: Bacteria; Bacillati; Actinomycetota; Actinomycetes; Streptosporangiales; Streptosporangiaceae
Description: tRNA-Ile
Source: RNAcentral